UCGGCAACGGAUAUCUCGGCUCUUACAUCGAUGAAGAACGUAGCAAAAUGCGAUACUUGGUGUGAAUUGCAGAAUCCCGUGAACCAUCGAGUCUUUGAACGCAAGUUGCGCCCGAAUCCUUUUGGUUGAGGGCACGUCUGCCUGGGUGUCACGUACACACGCCUCCCCUCAAACCCUUCCCCCUCGGGGACGAAGGGCGCGUUGGGCGAGCAGAGAUUGGUAUCCCGUGCCA
This 232-nucleotide ribosomal RNA is filed under the name Saxifraga hederacea. Its description in RNAcentral is "5.8S ribosomal RNA". The stretch from base 1 to 151 matches the Rfam family "5.8S ribosomal RNA". From Rfam's summary of the family: 5.8S ribosomal RNA (5.8S rRNA) is a component of the large subunit of the eukaryotic ribosome. The record is from RNAcentral. Lineage: Eukaryota; Viridiplantae; Streptophyta; Magnoliopsida; Saxifragales; Saxifragaceae.